Molecule: ribosomal RNA, 450 nt
Filed under: Fusobacterium sp. oral taxon 370
Lineage: Bacteria; Fusobacteriati; Fusobacteriota; Fusobacteriia; Fusobacteriales; Fusobacteriaceae
Description: bacterial SSU rRNA
Rfam family: Bacterial small subunit ribosomal RNA
Source: RNAcentral
GAUGAACGCUGACAGAAUGCUUAACACAUGCAAGUCUACUUGAAUUUGGGUCUUUGACUUAGAUUUGGGUGGCGGACGGGUGAGUAACGCGUAAAGAACUUGCCUCACAGUUAGGGACAACAUUUGGAAACGAAUGCUAAUACCUGAUAUUAUGAUUAUACGGCAUCGUAUAAUUAUGAAAGCUAUAUGCGCUGUGAGAGAGCUUUGCGUCCCAUUAGCUAGUUGGAGAGGUAACGGCUCACCAAGGCGAUGAUGGGUAGCCGGCCUGAGAGGGUGAACGGCCACAAGGGGACUGAGACACGGCCCUUACUCCUACGGGAGGCAGCAGUGGGGAAUAUUGGACAAUGGACCAAAAGUCUGAUCCAGCAAUUCUGUGUGCACGAUGACGUUUUUCGGAAUGUAAAGUGCUUUCAGUUGGGAAGAAAAAAAUGACGGUACCAACAGAAGAAG